Molecule: non-coding RNA, 23 nt
Filed under: Arabidopsis thaliana (thale cress)
Lineage: Eukaryota; Viridiplantae; Streptophyta; Magnoliopsida; Brassicales; Brassicaceae
Source: RNAcentral
UUGUCACAAAACAGUUUAGCUGA